GCAGUAAGACACUGAGACAUGGAGGAGACAUAUUAUAGACCUGCAGUAAGACACUGAGACAUGGAGGAGACAUAUUAUAGACCUGCAGUAAGACACAGAGACAUGGAGGAGAGGAGACAUAUUAUAGACCUCUAGUAAGACACAGAGACAUGGAGGAGAGGAGACAUAUUAUAGACCUGCAGUAAGACACUGAGACAUGGAGGAGACAUAUUAUAGACCUGCAGUAAGACACAGAGACAUGGAGGAGAGGAGACAUAUUAUAGACCUGCAGUAAGACACAGAGACAUGGAGGAGAGGAGACAUAUUAUAGACCUGCAGUAAGACACUGAGACAUGGAGGAGAGGAGACAUAUUAUAGACCUGCAGUAAGACACUGAGACAUGGAGGAGAGGAGACAUAUUAUAGACCUGCAGUAAGACACGGAGACAUGGAGGAGACAUAUUAUAGACCUGCAGUAAGACACAGAGACAUGGAGG
Molecule: long non-coding RNA, 475 nt
Organism: Oncorhynchus tshawytscha (Chinook salmon)
Lineage: Eukaryota; Metazoa; Chordata; Actinopteri; Salmoniformes; Salmonidae
Source: Ensembl